This is a non-coding RNA of Mesocricetus auratus (golden hamster), 74 nucleotides long. Lineage: Eukaryota; Metazoa; Chordata; Mammalia; Rodentia; Cricetidae. The record is from Rfam.
GGUGAGGUGGCUUAGAGGUUAAAAGCACUGGGUGCUCUUCCAGAGGUCCUGAGUUCAACUCCCAGCAAUCACCC